This 192-nucleotide non-coding RNA is filed under the name Acidobacteriota bacterium. RNAcentral's name for it is "Acidobacteria bacterium 6S RNA". It matches the Rfam family "6S / SsrS RNA". Rfam says of the family: E. coli 6S RNA was the first non coding RNA to be sequenced, but its function was unknown until recently. It consists of 184 nucleotides that fold into an extended hairpin structure with a large single-stranded internal bulge. The record is from RNAcentral. Lineage: Bacteria; Pseudomonadati; Acidobacteriota.
GGUUCCCUGCAGUGUGCGUGAUGGUCUCGGAGGCUCGGUUGAGCCAACGCUAACCCUAAGUGAGCCGCGACGUUUCGUGGUGUGCACGCCUCCGCGUGAGGUAGCCUGAAGCGAAACUGGUUAUAUCUAGAGCGGCUCCACCUGCUUCAGCAGGUUCAUCCGACCUCCCCACACGGCAAAUGCGGGGUCUUU